This 427-nucleotide ribosomal RNA is filed under the name uncultured bacterium. Its description in RNAcentral is "bacterial SSU rRNA". It matches the Rfam family "Bacterial small subunit ribosomal RNA", at positions 398 to 820 of the family's 1533-position model. The record is from RNAcentral.
CGCGUGAGUGAAGAAGGCUUCGGGUUGUAAAGCUCUUUCAGCCGGGAAGAAAUCGUACAGGCUAAUACCCUGUGCGGAUGACGGUACCGGAAUAAGAAGCACCGGCUAACUACGUGCCAGCAGCCGCGGUAAUACGUAGGGUGCGAGCGUUAAUCGGAAUUACUGGGCGUAAAGCGUGCGCAGGCGGUUUUGUAAGACAGGCGUGAAAUCCCCGGGCUUAACCUGGGAACUGCGUUUGUGACUGCAAGGCUAGAGUACGGCAGAGGGGGGUGGAAUUCCACGUGUAGCAGUGAAAUGCGUAGAGAUGUGGAGGAACACCAAUGGCGAAGCAGCCCCCUGGGUCGAUACUGACGCUCAUGCACGAAAGCGUGGGUAGCAAACAGGAUUAGAUACCCUGGUAGUCCCGCCCUAAACGAUGUCAACUAGU